Long non-coding RNA from Callorhinus ursinus (northern fur seal), 465 nucleotides. RefSeq lists it as uncharacterized. Lineage: Eukaryota; Metazoa; Chordata; Mammalia; Carnivora; Otariidae. The record is from RefSeq and is a predicted model, not a curated record.
CACCCCCGCCCCCCCAGUGAUUUCCAUCCCCAACUGGCAAGUUACUUCCAACUGUCAAGUCACCUCCCAGUUUAAGUCUUCCAACUUGAGGCCGUGGAUAUCAUGGAACAAAGUUUCACCAGCCUAGUAAAAUGGGAGACCACACUUGACAACUAACAACUGACGGGAUGUACACAUUCAGUCCAGAUGACAAGCUCCAUGAGGGUAGGGCCCAUGGCCCUUUGCCUUACUCAGCCCAAAGCACCAUGACUGGAACAAAUACCUGUGAAUGAAUGAACGAACAAAUGAAUGAACUGAAUUUUCAAAUACAGGUUUCUGCAAUGCUUUCUGUUCUGUAUGCACGGGAUGCAGCCAGCAAUGCCAGCAUUUUUGUUCCUCUGAAUUCUUGUCGUUGGACACUGCCAGGAUUUAGGGUGGGGUCAGCCCGGGGCCAUUUUAGCCCCAAUAAAGAUCUGUUUUAUUCAA